GAACGCUGGCGGCGUGCCUAAUACAUGCAAGUCGAGCGAACGGACGAGAAGCUUGCUUCUCUGAUGUUAGCGGCGGACGGGUGAGUAACACGUGGAUAACCUACCUAUAAGACUGGGAUAACUUCGGGAAACCGGAGCUAAUACCGGAUAAUAUUUUGAACCGCCUGGUUCAAAAGUGAAAGACGGUCUUGCUGUCACUUAUAGAUGGAUCCGCGCUGCAUUAGCUAGUUGGUAAGGUAACGGCUUACCAAGGCAACGAUGCAUAGCCGACCUGAGAGGGUGAUCGGCCACACUGGAACUGAGACACGGUCCAGACUCCUACGGGAGGCAGCAGUAGGGAAUCUUCCGCAAUGGGCGAAAGCCUGACGGAGCAACGCCGCGUGAGUGAUGAAGGUCUUCGGAUCGUAAAACUCUGUUAUUAGGGAAGAACAUAUGUGUAAGUAACUGUGCACAUCUUGACGGUACCUAAUCAGAAAGCCACGGCUAACUACGUG
This 494-nucleotide ribosomal RNA is filed under the name uncultured bacterium. Its description in RNAcentral is "partial 16S ribosomal RNA". It matches the Rfam family "Bacterial small subunit ribosomal RNA", at positions 31 to 507 of the family's 1533-position model. The record is from RNAcentral.